Molecule: transfer RNA, 70 nt
Filed under: Hattoria yakushimensis
Lineage: Eukaryota; Viridiplantae; Streptophyta; Jungermanniopsida; Jungermanniales; Anastrophyllaceae
Description: tRNA-Gly
Rfam family: tRNA
About the family: Transfer RNA (tRNA) molecules are approximately 80 nucleotides in length.
Source: RNAcentral
GCGGGUAUAGUUUAAUGGUAAAAUCCCUCCUUGCCAAGGAGAAGACGCGGGUUCGAUUCCCGCUACCCGC